CCAUGAGAUGUGUUCAACAACACGCCAAGAGUAAUAUGAGGUCGUCUUAUUCUCAGGCCAAGAAGCUUUCUGCACCAUCUUCUUCUGCUGUGUGUAAGAAGCUGAGAGAUGAAAAGGCUAAACAGUCUGAGGAAUCAUUAAGAACUGUUAUGUAUUUGAGUUGCUGGGGACCCAACAACUAAACUUCUCCCUUCAUAGUUUUGUACAUAGAUUAAAUAUAUAAAUACAUACAUGGGUUACGCAGAAUCCUCUCUCUCUUUUCUUCUUGAAACAGUAUACUUACUAAAGCUAAUUUUUGUUGAGCUGAGAUGAAGAAAGUCCAAAGAUGAACGAUUCAAAAUUUCAGUUUAAAUUUAGAGUUGAAAAAAAUGUGUACAUAUAAUGAUUCGUAUAGAUUCGAAGUCCAAGAUUAAUGAGGUUUAUGCACGUCUCCCUCUAAAUCAAAUGGUUGGAUGAAAUGAAAUACUUGCUUUAGACUCAAGUUUAAGUAAAUUAAUUACUUUUAAUUAAGAAAUACAAGUUAAUUAGUUACAUUUUUUAUUUAAAAAACCUCACAAUCAUUUCCUUGGAAGAAAUAAUAAGAUUUUUAUUAAGUAAAUUGGCAAGUAAAAUAAUUAGAAUUAAGAAAAAAGAUAGAAAUUUAUAAGCUACUGACUAAAAAUAAUAAAGAUAAUAAAUAAAUUAAUUUUUUAAAUUUAAUAUAAAUUUUAUUGUGCAUAAAAAAUUAUCGAGACUCGUUUAAAAAAAAUCGGUUAUGGAUACUGAAACUUAAUACAUUUAUUAAAAUAUACACAUAUUUUAUGUGUAAAAUUUAUUUUAAAUUAAUAAAAUAAUAAAAUUUAUCCAUAUAAAAAAAUAAUUAUGAUCUUAAAUUAUUUUUUUUAUUAUGAAUUUAAUUACAUUUCUGAUUAUAAAUUUAAUCUUUUUAUACUUAAAAUUAAAAAUAUAAUUUUUUUUUUAAAAAAAGCAGCUUCCAAAGACCACCUCGGUGUCCUAAUUAACCACGUGACGCGGUGUAUGCGAAAACACCCACGCUAAUGCGCAUAGCGCACCUGGUUUACGAUAAAAAAGCAUCGAAAUAAAAUAACAUAUUAAUAAAAGUAAAAUAAAUAUAAAAAUAAACAUUUAAUUUAAUUUAUUUCUCAAAAGAAUCCAAAAACCAGGGGUUGUCUCCUUCUCAAAACAGGUGGUAGGUGUUUUAAAAGCUUCGAUUCCGCCUCUGGUUUUUCAUUUUUCUUGUCACCUCCCCACCUCCUUAUAUAUAUAUAUAUAUAUACAACCAGACUCCCGAUUUCUCCACCAUCGUCAAACUACAGUCCAAAUUAAAGCACAAAAACCCUUCAAAUCUCUCUUUUAUUCUCCUCAAUUCCUGCUUAAAAAUUCCAAAAGAUACAGAAAAUACUCACCGAAAAAUCAGAUCAUGAGCGGUGCGAUGAGAGCCUGGGCUGUGGCCGCUACCAUCGGCGCGGUGGAGGCGCUGAAGGAUCAAGGGAUUUGUAGAUGGAAUUAUACGAUUAGGUCUCUGC
This 1526-nucleotide long non-coding RNA is filed under the name Carica papaya (papaya). RNAcentral describes it as "long non-coding RNA (CPAP_LNC011751)". Lineage: Eukaryota; Viridiplantae; Streptophyta; Magnoliopsida; Brassicales; Caricaceae. The record is from RNAcentral.